Molecule: ribosomal RNA, 171 nt
Filed under: uncultured Anoxybacillus sp.
Lineage: Bacteria; Bacillati; Bacillota; Bacilli; Caryophanales; Anoxybacillaceae
Description: partial 16S ribosomal RNA
Rfam family: Bacterial small subunit ribosomal RNA
Source: RNAcentral
UACACACGUGCUACAAUGGGCGGUUACAAAGGGUACGCGAACCCGCGAGGGGGAGCCAAUCCCAAAAAGCCGCUCUCAGUUCGGAUUGCAGGCUGCAACUCGCCUGCAUGAAGCCGGAAUCGCUAGUAAUCGCAGGUCAGCAUACUGCGGUCGAAUACGUUCCCGGGCCUU